GACGAACGCUGGCGGCGUGCCUAAUACAUGCAAGUAGAACGCACAGUUUAUACCGUAGCUUGCUACACCAUAAACUGUGAGUUGCGAACGGGUGAGUAACGCGUAGGUAACCUGCCUGGUAGCGGGGGAUAACUAUUGGAAACGAUAGCUAAUACCGCAUAAUAUUGAUUAUUGCAUGAUAAUUGAUUGAAAGAUGCUAUUGCAUCACUACCAGAUGGACCUGCGUUGUAUUAGCUAGUAGGUGAGGUAACGGCUCACCUAGGCGACGAUACAUAGCCGACCUGAGAGGGUGAUCGGCCACACUGGGACUGAGACACGGCCCAGACUCCUACGGGAGGCAGCAGUAGGGAAUCUUCGGCAAUGGACGAAAGUCUGACCGAGCAACGACGCGUGAGUGAAGAAGGUUGUCGGAUCGUAAAGCUCUGUUGUAAGAGAAGAACGGGUGUGAGAGUGGAAAGUUCACACUGUGACGGUAGCUUACCAGAAAGGGACGGCUAACUACGUG
Molecule: ribosomal RNA, 505 nt
Filed under: uncultured bacterium
Lineage: Bacteria
Description: partial 16S ribosomal RNA
Rfam family: Bacterial small subunit ribosomal RNA
Source: RNAcentral